This 232-nucleotide unclassified non-coding RNA is filed under the name Hevea brasiliensis (rubber tree). The record is from RNAcentral. Lineage: Eukaryota; Viridiplantae; Streptophyta; Magnoliopsida; Malpighiales; Euphorbiaceae.
AAACCUUCAACUCUCACAUAGUACAAAAUCCCUCUCCGACUUCUUCAUCUUCUGAUACGCAUUCGAAACGCAAAGGAAAAACCCAAAUGCCUUUACUUCUCUUACUCCCAUAGAAGAGAAUCCCCUGACUCACAAGCAAAAACCCAAAAUCCUUAUCCUUUAUCUCUCUCUUGCACAGACUGAUUUUUGGUGAAGAGAUGCAUCCUUGUAGCAGAGAAAUGCAAGGAAUAAA